Molecule: ribosomal RNA, 253 nt
Filed under: uncultured bacterium
Lineage: Bacteria
Description: partial 16S ribosomal RNA
Rfam family: Bacterial small subunit ribosomal RNA
Source: RNAcentral
UACAGAGGUCCCGAGCGUUGUUCGGAUUCACUGGGCGUAAAGGGUGCGUAGGUGGCUUGAAAAGUUUGAUGUGAAAGCUCAGGGCUUAACCCUGAAAUGGCAUUGAAUACUGUCGAGCUGGAGGUUUGGAGGGGGGACUGGAAUUCUUGGUGUAGCAGUGAAAUGCGUAGAUAUCAGGAGGAACACCGGUGGUGUAGACGGCUCUCUGGACCGUAACUGACGCUGAGACACGAAAGCGUGGGUAGCAAACAGG